ACGACGGCCAGUCCAGACUCCUACGGGAGGCAGCAGUGGGGAAUUUUCCGCAAUGGGCGAAAGCCUGACGGAGCAACGCCGCGUGAGGGAGGAAGGUCUUUGGAUUGUAAACCUCUUUUCUCAAGGAAGAAGUUCUGACGGUACUUGAGGAAUCAGCCUCGGCUAACUCCGUGCCAGCAGCCGCGGUAAUACGGGGGAGGCAAGCGUUAUCCGGAAUUAUUGGGCGUAAAGCGUCCGCAGGUGGUCAGCCAAGUCUGCCGUCAAAUCAGGUUGCUUAACGACCUAAAGGCGGUGGAAACUGGCAGACUAGAGAGCAGUAGGGGUAGCAGGAAUUCCCAGUGUAGCGGUGAAAUGCGUAGAGAUUGGGAAGAACAUCGGUGGCGAAAGCGUGCUACUGGGCUGUAUCUGACACUCAGGGACGAAAGCUAGGGGAGCGAAAGGGAUUAGAUACCCCUGUAGUCCUAGCCGUAAACGAUGGAUACUAGGCGUGGCUUGUAUCGACCCGAGCCGUGCCGUAGCUAACGCG
This 526-nucleotide ribosomal RNA is filed under the name Microcystis sp. KLL MB-K. RNAcentral's name for it is "bacterial SSU rRNA". It matches the Rfam family "Bacterial small subunit ribosomal RNA", at positions 319 to 859 of the family's 1533-position model. RNAcentral also lists the same sequence under 3 other names. The record is from RNAcentral. Lineage: Bacteria; Bacillati; Cyanobacteriota; Cyanophyceae; Chroococcales; Microcystaceae.